RNAcentral lists this transfer RNA (73 nucleotides) under Planctomycetaceae bacterium. RNAcentral describes it as "tRNA-Val". It matches the Rfam family "tRNA". From Rfam's summary of the family: Transfer RNA (tRNA) molecules are approximately 80 nucleotides in length. The record is from RNAcentral. Lineage: Bacteria; Pseudomonadati; Planctomycetota; Planctomycetia; Planctomycetales; Planctomycetaceae. RNAcentral also lists the same sequence under 2 other names.
GGGCGCUUAGCUCAGUGGCAAGAGCGCUGCUUUUACACAGCAGUGGUCACUGGUUCGAAUCCAGUAGCGCCCA